Molecule: unclassified non-coding RNA, 309 nt
Filed under: plant metagenome
Description: partial contains 5.8S ribosomal RNA, internal transcribed spacer 2, and large subunit ribosomal RNA
Rfam family: 5.8S ribosomal RNA (bases 1-105)
Source: RNAcentral
GAAAUGCGAUAAGUAAUGUGAAUUGCAGAAUUCCGUGAAUCAUCGAAUCUUUGAACGCACAUUGCGCCCUCUGGCAUUCCAUGGGGCAUGCCUGUUCGAGCGUCAUUUGUACCCUCAAGCUCUGCUUGGUGUUGGGUGUUUGUCCCGUCUCCGCGCGUGGACUCGCCCCAAAGUGAUUGGCAGCCGGCGUACUGGUCCCGGAGCGCAGCACAUGUCGCGCAAACGAGUGCCUUGGUACGGCGGCGUCCAUAAGCCCCUCUCUCACGCUCUUGACCUCGGAUCAGGUAGGGAUACCCGCUGAACUUAAGC